UACAGAGGGUGCGAGCGUUAAUCGGAAUUACUGGGCGUAAAGCGCGCGUAGGCGGCUUUGCAAGCCGGAUGUGAAAUCCCCGGGCUUAACCUGGGAACUGCAUUCGGGACUGCAUUGCUAGAGUAUGGGAGAGGGAAGUGGAAUUUCAGGUGUAGCGGUGAAAUGCGUAGAUAUCUGAAGGAACAUCAGUGGCGAAAGCGACUUCCUGGACCAAUACUGACGCUCAUGUGCGAAAGCGUGGGGAGCAGACAGG
RNAcentral lists this ribosomal RNA (253 nucleotides) under uncultured bacterium. Its description in RNAcentral is "partial 16S ribosomal RNA". It matches the Rfam family "Bacterial small subunit ribosomal RNA", at positions 524 to 776 of the family's 1533-position model. The record is from RNAcentral.